Molecule: long non-coding RNA, 2151 nt
Organism: Gallus gallus (chicken)
Lineage: Eukaryota; Metazoa; Chordata; Aves; Galliformes; Phasianidae
Source: Ensembl
UGUUCUUAGAAGUAUUUUCCAACCUUAAUGAUACUAUGAUUCUAUGUUUCUAUGAUUCCUGGGGAGGGAAUAGCCAGUCUCACCAAACAAAGGAAUUCUACUGUUUCUCCUGUAGCUUCUCCAGCGUAUUUCCCUAAUGGAGAGUUUAGAAAAACCUGACCCCUAGUCAUACCGUGCCACUAAUGCUGCAGCUCCAAGCUUGUGGAACCUGAGGUGGAGCAAGCAAGUGCCAGUAAGAGAAACAUUCCAGGGAAGGAAGAAAUUACCAGAAGAUUGUCCCCAGUAACACUGGAACUAAACUGUGGAUGUGGAAUAUUGUAAGAUUUUGAGGAUUUAUUUGAAACAGACAAACAAAAAUCCUCUACGUCAUGUGGAAGUCCUUCAAAUGGAAAUCCUGCCUUGGUAAAGACAAAUGAAAGAGCAUGAACGAUGAAAUACUUGCAAUAUAAAGAAAUAUAAAGAAAAUAUUAUGAUAUAUAGUCUGUUUUUCUUGUGGAUUUUCAGCACCAAUAACGACUUGAAUAUUUUUUCCAGGUUAAAGUAACUGAAGUGGCCAAAAGUGGCUAAAGUGACUCCUCAGCACCUGGACUGAAGCUACUUGGAAUCUCUUUUGCCAGCAGCACAAGCAGAGCCUGCUUGAGAGUAGCAGCACCUAAAAAAGCUUAUCUGCAUGCAGCUCUCCUGAAUUCAAUCAAAUUCAUCUGAACUAUUUCAAAUUCCACUGGAGGAGGAGACAGGAGGAUUUAGUAGACAUUGCCUGCUGAGAAGAAACAAGGGGCGAUAACUCAGGGAAAGCCUAAAAGAGUAGGACCUGUCAUGCAGCCUCCUUAACUAUGUCGUUCCUAACUGCAUUUGUUACAGUCUUAGCCAUGAUCUUGCCCAAUCCCAGCUGCGUACACCUGUGUGCUCACUUAGAGCCCGUUUUUUGCACCUAUGUGAAGCCUACUCAGAUUUUGAAUACGUAUGAGUUUUGCAACAAUUUACAUUUUCUGUAUUGGUGUAACUUUAGAUAUUUAGUUUCAGCUCUGGCUCAACAUAGUACAUCAGACGUUUUAAAGAUAUAUUUUUUUUUUCCAUAAGAGGAAAAGUAAUUUUAAAGUUGGGUAAAGACAAGGGGAGGUAAGGUGAUAUGGGCCGGUUUGUUUAGCAAUAGGGAUCUGUUUAUUAGUUUAAGGACCAACAUAUUAGUUUAGCAAAAGGAAUCAAUGAAUGCUAAUUCUAAAACUUUCCUUUUCGCUUUUCUUGGUGUGUGAGCAGCCCUGUUUUCUCUUAAUUCUGCUUCACAAGAAGCACCAGAGACAUAAUAGACUGCUUAUCUUUGCAUUUCAUGAGGUGCUAGGAUGUUUUCCUCAUAUUUUCACAUAUAUGGUUUUGGAAAUUGCUGAUUAUGGGUUAACAACCAAUAGAAAUGUGCCAAACAGGGGAAAAACGGCUGAAGGUCAGCUAAAAGUCUCAAUGAUGAAGCUGAUGGUGGAAAAGUGGGGAUAAAGUAAGUGGGCAUAUGACCACCCUAAAUGCAACCAUGCAUGCCCAGAGGGAUAUUAGCAUAUGUUAAUGUGUUCUUGGAAAAGAAUGAAUACGUAUGUCAGUGUACUGCAUAUGCAUGUCUUAACUAUUUAACUGUAGAACCUGAACUCUGAGAGAGUGCGCUUGUUCGUCAAGUUGUCCAAUUCAUAUCAUGAGGAAUAAAGGAAAGGCACUUUCUAACACUACAUUGGAGUUAGAGGGUUUUCUUCCCAGAUAUUGGAUGACAAGGUAUCUACCUUGAGGAAAGAUAUUAUGAAGACCUACUUACAGAUGCUCUAGUUUUUUGGCCAUAUUUUGAUAAUUAGCAUGGAAACCAUGGACCUGAUUUGAGCUAAGCUGUUUGAUCACGUUUUGGAUGACAAGCUGCCCUUUAGCUUGUGUAAAUACGUGAUAUAACUCAUCACCAUUUUCAGUAUAAACCAGCAAGUUCAUCUAAACAUAUCAGUUUUGGUGAAGCCAAAUGUCUUUAUUGCCUAGGGUGAUUUUUUUUAAACUUAUUUCUAAAACUGUGGGAUUUCCAAUUAAAAAAAAAAAUCCCAAAUGUAUUUAUGAAUAAAAAAGGAUAAACACAGUGAUUGCGGAUGCACAUUUUAAUUAACUGGAAAAUCUCUUCUUCUUUUUGUU